This 436-nucleotide small RNA is filed under the name Spisula solidissima (Atlantic surf clam). RNAcentral describes it as "cnRNA143". The record is from RNAcentral. Lineage: Eukaryota; Metazoa; Mollusca; Bivalvia; Venerida; Mactridae.
UCUUAAACUGUGAGUUAUACAUUUUGUAAAUGGGAACUGAGGAAUUUUGAACAAAUCUGACUGUAUAAAUUUUAUAAAUAGUUCAAGUUGACAGCAUAUCUCCGGAGUAAGUUAUUGUGUAAACUGUGCUAUGCCAUCUGCAUUGUUUGUCCACCUGACAAGUGUGUAAAUGGUAGAGUGCUAGACCUCAUGGGUUCUACAAUGACAUUGGCAAAUAGAGAGUGUCUGCUUGGGUGAAACAGAGUGAUUUGGUUAUAUUGAUAAUUAAGUGUUUUGUCMACUAGCACMAAAUACGGCUAUAUAACCUAUCUUAAGUAGCCAACCAAGUGAACCAACAAAGAUGGUUGUUUAAUACAGGUGUAUGMGAUAUCMMAUGASUAAAUGMAAUUGGGAYUCAAUAUUGGAUUUMAUAUUCUCUUUACUCCAAUAUGUCAUU